RNAcentral lists this ribosomal RNA (305 nucleotides) under uncultured bacterium. RNAcentral describes it as "bacterial SSU rRNA". It matches the Rfam family "Bacterial small subunit ribosomal RNA", at positions 333 to 654 of the family's 1533-position model. The record is from RNAcentral.
GGGUUCCUACGGGGCACAGCAGUCGGGAAUAUUGCACAAUGGAGGAAACUCUGAUGCAGUGACACCGCGUAUAGGAAGAAGGUUUUCGGAUUGUAAACUAUUUUAGACAGGGAAGAAAAAAGACAGUACCUGUAGAAUAAGCUCCGGCUAACUACGUGCCAGCAGCCGCGGUAAUACGUAGGGAGCAAGCGUUGUCCGGAAUUAUUGGGUGUAAAGGGUGCGUAGACGGGACAGCAAGUUAGUUGUGAAAGCCCUCGGCUUAACUGAGGAACUGCAACUAAAACUAUUGUUCUUGAGUGCAGGGG